CUACGGGUCGCUCCAGUGGGGAAUAUUGGACAAUGGGCGCAAGCCUGAUCCAGCAAUGCCGCGUGAGUGAAGACGGCCUUAGGGUUGUAAAACUCUUUCGCUAGGGAAGAUAAUGACUGUACCUAGUAAAGAAGUCCCGGCUAACUCCGUGCCAGCAGCCGCGGUAAUACGGAGGGGACUAGCGUUGUUCGGAAUUACUGGGCGUAAAGAGUUCGUAGGCGGACUGACAAGUUAGAGGUGAAAUCCCAGGGCUCAACCCUGGAACUGCCUUUAAAACUGUCAGUCUAGAGACCGGAAGAGGUUAGGGGAAUACCUAGUGUAGAGGUGAGAUUCGUAGAUAUUAGGUGGAACACCAGUGGCGAAGGCGCCUAACUGGUCCGGUACUGACGCUGAGGAACGAAAGCGUGGGGAGCAAACAGGAUUAGAUACCCCUGUAGUC
This 439-nucleotide ribosomal RNA is filed under the name uncultured bacterium. RNAcentral describes it as "partial 16S ribosomal RNA". It matches the Rfam family "Bacterial small subunit ribosomal RNA", at positions 339 to 795 of the family's 1533-position model. The record is from RNAcentral.